RNAcentral lists this ribosomal RNA (468 nucleotides) under uncultured bacterium. Its description in RNAcentral is "partial 16S ribosomal RNA". It matches the Rfam family "Bacterial small subunit ribosomal RNA", at positions 28 to 507 of the family's 1533-position model. The record is from RNAcentral.
GACGAACGCUGGCGGCGUGCUUAACACAUGCAAGUCGAACGGAAAGGCCCUGCUUUUGUGGGGUGCUCGAGUGGCGAACGGGUGAGUAACACGUGAGUAACCUGCCCUUGACUUUGGGAUAACUUCAGGAAACUGGGGCUAAUACCGGAUAGGAGCUCCUGCUGCAUGGUGGGGGUUGGAAAGUUUCGGCGGUUGGGGAUGGACUCGCGGCUUAUCAGCUUGUUGGUGGGGUAGUGGCUUACCAAGGCUUUGACGGGUAGCCGGCCUGAGAGGGUGACCGGGGACAAGGGGACUGAGAGACGGCGCAGAGGGGUACGGGAGGCAGCAGUGGCGAAUAUUGCACAGUGGGCGGAAGCCUGAUGCAGCAACGCCGGGUGCGGGAUGACGGCCUUCGGGUUGUAAACCGCUUUCGGCUGUGACGAAGCGUGAGUGACGGUAAUGGGUAAAGAAGCACCGGCUAACUACGUG